This 219-nucleotide long non-coding RNA is filed under the name Elaeis guineensis (African oil palm). Its description in RNAcentral is "long non-coding RNA (EGUI_LNC030183)". Lineage: Eukaryota; Viridiplantae; Streptophyta; Magnoliopsida; Arecales; Arecaceae. The record is from RNAcentral.
UGGUGCAAAAAAAAUUUGAAUUUAUAGAUGUGAACGAGCUUUCCAAGACAUAUUUUUACGUUCUAAAUAAUUAUGAAGAAAUUAAAGAUUUUAUUGAGUAAGUAUCAUCUUAUGAUACUGUUUAAUGAUCAAAAAAAAAUUUUAUAUCGAUGUAAAAUUAAAAAUUAUAAUUUCUUACAGUGAGCACAAGAGUAUACUAUGUAGAGAGAAUAAUACGGA